AUGGAUAUUGUGGACUAUCUGAGACCCAAAUAUGUUCUAACGGAAAAUGUAGUAGAUCUACUAAAAUUCACAGAUGGUUUCCUUGGAAAGUAUGCGCUAAGCCGCCUUGUUGCCAUGAAUUACCAAGCUAGGCUUGGGAUGAUGGUUGCCGGAAAUUUUGGACUACCACAGUAUAGGAUGCGUGCAUUUGUAUCUGGGGAGCUCUUCCUUCAGUGGUGUGUCUCUUUUAUAUCUUCUUUUUACCUUGUAACACUACUACUCAAUAAGAAUGUACAUUUGGCAAUACAUCUACUUCAAAAAUUCCCACUUACCACCCAUGACGUUGUUAAGGGAGGAGGAGUAGUGCCAAAAGCAUUUGUGGUAAGAGAUUAUAUGAAUAACCACCACAUUUUUGUAAUUUUUUUACUAUUAUUGUGUCUUACUAUAAUAUUAUUCUUUUCAGCAAUAUGUCGUUGCAUAUGA
This 462-nucleotide ribosomal RNA is filed under the name Triticum aestivum (bread wheat). RNAcentral describes it as "partial small subunit ribosomal RNA". Lineage: Eukaryota; Viridiplantae; Streptophyta; Magnoliopsida; Poales; Poaceae. The record is from RNAcentral.